UACGAAGGGUGCAAGCGUUAAUCGGAAUUACUGGGCGUAAAGGGCUCGUAGGCGGCCAACUAAGUCAGACGUGAAAUCCCUCGGCUUAACCGGGGAACUGCGUCUGAUACUGGCAGGCUAGAGUGCGGUAGAGGAUGGCGGAAUUCCCGGUGUAGCAGUGAAAUGCGUAGAGAUCGGGAGGAACAUCUGUGGCGAAGGCGGCCAUCUGGACCAGCACUGACACUGAGGCACGAAAGCGUGGGGAGCAAACAGG
Molecule: ribosomal RNA, 253 nt
Filed under: uncultured bacterium
Lineage: Bacteria
Description: partial 16S ribosomal RNA
Rfam family: Bacterial small subunit ribosomal RNA
Source: RNAcentral